Molecule: non-coding RNA, 72 nt
Organism: Bos taurus (domestic cattle)
Lineage: Eukaryota; Metazoa; Chordata; Mammalia; Artiodactyla; Bovidae
Source: Rfam
UCUCUGAUGGCUCAGAUGGUAAAGAACCUGCCUGCAAUGCAGGAGAUCUAGGUUCGAUCCCUGGGUCGGGAA